AGCAGCAGCCACGGUAAUACGAAGGGGGCUAGCGUUGUUCGGAAUCACUGGGCGUAAAGCGAGCGCAGGCGGUUAGAUAAGUCUGAAGUUAAAGGCUGUGGCUUAACCAUAGUACGCUUUGGAAACUGUUUAACUUGAGUGCAAGAGGGGAGAGUGGAAUUCCAUGUGUAGCGGUGAAAUGCGUAGAUAUAUGAAGGAACACCGGUGGCGAAAGCGGCUCUCUGGCUUGUAACUGACGCUGAGGCUCGAAAGCGUGGGGAGCAAACAGGAUUAGAUACCCCUGUAGUCCCUGUCUCUUAUACA
This 303-nucleotide ribosomal RNA is filed under the name uncultured bacterium. Its description in RNAcentral is "partial 16S ribosomal RNA". It matches the Rfam family "Bacterial small subunit ribosomal RNA", at positions 507 to 808 of the family's 1533-position model. The record is from RNAcentral.